This 1058-nucleotide ribosomal RNA is filed under the name uncultured eukaryote. RNAcentral's name for it is "SSU rRNA". It matches the Rfam family "Eukaryotic small subunit ribosomal RNA", at positions 583 to 1660 of the family's 1831-position model. The record is from RNAcentral.
UUCCAGCCCCAAUAGCGUAUACUAAAGUUGCUGCAGUUAAAAAGCUCGUAGUUGGAUCUCGGGCACAGGCUUGCGGUCCGUCUCGCGGCGGUCACCGCUCGUCCUGGCCUCCCGGCCGGCGUCACCGUCCCCUGGUGCUCUUGACCGAGUGUCUCGGGCGGCCGGCACGUUUACUUUGAAGAAAUUAGAGUGCUUAGAGCAGGCCCUGGUCGCCUGUAUAAUUGUGCAUGGAAUAAUGGAAUAGGACCUCGGUUCUAUCUGUUGGCUCUCGGAGCGCGAGGUAAUGAUUGAUAGGGACUGACGGGGGCAUCCGUAUUGCGGCGCUAGAGGUGAAAUUCUUGGACCGUCGCAAGACGAACGACAGCGAAAGCAUUUGCCAAGCAUGUUUUCAUUAAUCAAGAACGAAAGUCAGAGGUUCGAAGACGAUCAGAUACCGUCGUAGUUCUGACCAUAAACGAUGCCAACUGUCGAUCCGCGGUGGUUGCUUAAAUGACCCCGCGGGCAGACCCCGGGAAACCGAAGUUUCUGGGUUCCGGGGGGAGUAUGGUUGCAAAGCUGAAACUUAAAGGAAUUGACGGAAGGGCACCACCAGGAGUGGAGCCUGUGGCUUAAUUUGACUCAACACGGGGAACCUCACCCGGCCCGGACACUGCGAGGAUUGACAGAUUGAGAGCUCUUUCUUGAUUCGGUGGGUGGUGGUGCAUGGCCGUUCUUAGUUGGUGGAGCGAUCUGUCUGGUUAAUUCCGAUAACGAACGAGACUCUGGCCUGCUAAAUAGCUCGGGCGUCCUCUGCUGCGCCCCUCGAGCUUCUUAGAGGGACGAGUGGCGUUUAGCCACGCGAGAUUGAGCAAUAACAGGUCUGUGAUGCCCUUAGAUGUUCGGGGCCGCACAUGCGCUACACUGAAUGGAUCAGCGUGCGUCUUGCCUGGCCCGAGAGGGCCGGGAAAUCCGUUGAACCCCAUUCGUGCUAGGGAUUGGGGCUUGCAAUUGUUCCCCAUGAACGAGGAAUUCCUAGUAAGCGCGAGUCAUCAGCUCGCGUUGAUUACGUCCCUGCCCUU